RNAcentral lists this ribosomal RNA (253 nucleotides) under uncultured bacterium. RNAcentral describes it as "partial 16S ribosomal RNA". It matches the Rfam family "Bacterial small subunit ribosomal RNA", at positions 524 to 776 of the family's 1533-position model. The record is from RNAcentral.
UACAGAGGGUGCAAGCGUUGCUCGGAAUCAUUGGGCGUAAAGGGUAGGUAGGUGGUCUCGUUUGUCUGGGGUGAAAGCCCUUGGCUUAACCGAGGAAGUGCAUCCGAAACUGGCGAGCUAGAGUACUAAAGAGGAUCGCGGAAUUCCCGGUGUAGAGGUGAAAUUCGUAGAUAUCGGGAGGAACACCGGUGGCGAAGGCGGCGAUCUGGGUAGAUACUGACGCUGAGGUGCGAAAGCGUGGGGAGCAAACAGG